This 358-nucleotide unclassified non-coding RNA is filed under the name Hevea brasiliensis (rubber tree). Lineage: Eukaryota; Viridiplantae; Streptophyta; Magnoliopsida; Malpighiales; Euphorbiaceae. The record is from RNAcentral.
UCUCUCUCUCUCUCUCUCUCGAUUAAAUAUAUGUUUUGGACGCAUCACUAGAUGUGCCCCCCACCUUCUUACCUUCUCUCCUAACUCAAUCUUUUGAUGUAUUAUUAAUUACUUUUCUUAUUAAAUCAUCUGCAAUUGCAAUUACUUUUGAGUCGGUGAAGGCAUCUAGAAUGGUCAUAGGGUCAAAGAUUUAAGAGCGUCUUUAAGAUAAAAAUUCUUGUAGAUUGUUUUGAUUGGACAUGCAGCAUUAUUUUUUGCAGUUAAAGGUCUAUUGAUCGGUCAAGUGAUUCAAAUUGAAUUCUCGCAUGGUUAUCGGUUUGGUCACUUUCAUGCGUUAAUCUUGAAUUUUACUGCAAUG